CGGGCAAUAGAUCAGUGGUAGAGCUCUCGCUUCAUAUGCGCGAAGACUUGGGUUCGAUUCUCGGUUGCCUAC
This 72-nucleotide transfer RNA is filed under the name Toxocara canis (dog roundworm). It matches the Rfam family "tRNA". From Rfam's summary of the family: Transfer RNA (tRNA) molecules are approximately 80 nucleotides in length. Their secondary structure includes four short double-helical elements and three loops (D, anti-codon, and T loops). The record is from Rfam by way of RNAcentral. Lineage: Eukaryota; Metazoa; Nematoda; Chromadorea; Rhabditida; Toxocaridae.